UACGUAGGGGGCAAGCGUUAUCCGGAUUUACUGGGUGUAAAGGGGGCGCAGACGGCGAUGCAAGCCAGGAGUGAAAGCCCGGGGCUCAACCUCGGGCCGGGUUCCGGACUGGGCGGCUCGAGUGCGGUAGAGGAGAGCGGAAUUCCCGGUGUAGCGGUGGAAUGCGCAGAUAUCGGGAAGAACACCGAUGGCGAAGGCAGCUCUCUGGGCCGUCACUGACGCUGAGGCGCGAAAGCUGGGGGAGCGAACAGG
This 252-nucleotide ribosomal RNA is filed under the name uncultured bacterium. Its description in RNAcentral is "partial 16S ribosomal RNA". It matches the Rfam family "Bacterial small subunit ribosomal RNA", at positions 524 to 776 of the family's 1533-position model. The record is from RNAcentral.